GGAGGAUUACUCAAGAGGCUGAAGAGGACGGUUUGCUAAAUCGUUAGGGCGGGUUACCGUCGCUAGGGUUCGAAUCCCUAAUCCUCCG
Veillonella parvula DSM 2008 is the source of this 88-nucleotide non-coding RNA. The record is from Rfam. Lineage: Bacteria; Bacillati; Bacillota; Negativicutes; Veillonellales; Veillonellaceae.